UUGCUCUUCAACGAGGAAUGCCUAGUAAGCGCGAGUCAUCAGCUCGCGUUGACUACGUCCCUGCCCUUUGUACACACCGCCCGUCGCUCCUACCGAUUGAAUGGUCCGGUGAAGUGUUCGGAUCGCGGCGACGGGGGCGGUUCGCCGCCCCGACGUCGCGAGAAGUCCAUUGAACCUUAUCAUUUAGAGGAAGGAGAAGUCGUAACAAGGUUUCCGUAGGUGAACCUGCGGAAGGAUCAUUGUCGUGACCCUGACCAAAACAGACCGCGCACGCGUCAUCCAAUCCGUCGGUGACGGCACCGUCCGUCGCUCGGCCUAUGCCUCGACCACCUCCCCUCCACGGAGUGGGUGGGGGCUCGAGGCAAAAGAACCCACGGCGCCGAAGGCGUCAAGGAACACUGUGCCUAACACGGGGCCAUGGCUAGCUUGCUAGCUGUGACUCGUGUUGCAAAGCUAUUUAAUCCACACGACUCUCGGCAACGGAUAUCUCGGCUCUCGCAUCGAUGAAGAACGUAGCGAAAUGCGAUACCUGGUGUGAAUUGCAGAAUCCCGCGAACCAUCGAGUCUUUGAACGCAAGUUGCGCCCGAGGCCACUCGGCCGAGGGCACGCCUGCCUGGGCGUCACGCCAAAACACGCUCCCACACCCCUCAUUGGGAAUCGGGAUGCGGCAUCUGGUCCCUCGUCUCGCAAGGGGCGGUGGACCGAAGUUCGGGCUGCCGGCGUACCGUGUCAAACACAGCGCGUGGUGGGCGUCUUUGCUUUAUCAACGCAGUGCAUACGACGCGUAGCCGGCAUGAUGGCCUCAAAACGACCCAACAAACGUAGCGCACGUCGCUUCGACCGCGACCCCAGGUCAGGCGGGACUACCCGCUGAGUUUAAGCAUAUCAAUAAGCGGAGGA
This 901-nucleotide ribosomal RNA is filed under the name uncultured eukaryote. RNAcentral describes it as "eukaryotic LSU rRNA". The stretch from base 1 to 242 matches the Rfam family "Eukaryotic small subunit ribosomal RNA", at positions 1593 to 1831 of the family's 1831-position model. The record is from RNAcentral.